AUGAAUAUGUAUGAAAAUAAUCAAUUGUUUUGUUUUUGGACCCCAUCGAUGGUCCGAAUGCUGUGUGUGUGGAUGUCAGAGUGCUUUUUGGCCAAAGUGGGCUUGGCAGUGGCAGUGGCGGUGGCGGUGAUCAGGGGCAGGCCGCAGGGCGUCGACCUCCGCCGGCACAUCCAGGCUUUGUCGGCGAGGCUGAGGGAGAGCGCGCGGACGCGGAGGAGUGAAGCGGAGGAGCCGGGGCGGCAGGCGCCUGGGCGGGGGGCCUCGCUGGUCGCCACGACAAUAGCAAGCGCAGGUCAUGCUGUCAGCACGGAGAGCGAGGGCACCGCAGGCCACCGCACAGGCACGCCAAAACUCUCUCAGCUUCUUUGCUGCCGCCGCCGCCCGCUUCCUGAGCCGCUUGACCUUUGCGUGGCGGUGACGACGGGGGGGUGUCACACGGCAAAGUCCUUUCUGGUGGCUCGCAUCCUGUCGGAGGUCAGCGUGCUGGCUGACAGACUGUGCCUCGCGAUCCACGAGAACACCAGCGUGGACAAGAUUCCCGUGGACAACUACGGCCAGGCGCUGCGCCUGCUGCGGAUGGCGGAGGAGCUGCUGCUGGGCGAGCGGCGACCGGCGUCUUGGCCGCAGCGUUUUUCUUCAAACCUUAACCCACACACGUUGGCGGCCGUCAAAGCCCGGUCCUGACUCGUACGCCACUCCUAUGUCAGCAAGGCCAGCGACGGCGUCUCACCUCGGGCGCGGGCUUUAGCCAGAACCUCCACGUGCUUGACGGCAGCUUUCAUCACGUGGUCGCCGAAGACAGCCGGGAGGUCUACCUGCAGACAGCGUGCACGUUCAACACCGAGCCGGCCGCUCCUUGGCGGCCGACGGAAGCUGACGACGCCACCUUCCGAGCUCUGCGGACCAACACGGACGCUAGGAAGCGGAAGCUCAAACGAAGCUCGUCCACGCACGCCUCGUCAUCCGUGAUGUCCCUGCGGCCCAUGACGGAGCAUGACAGGUGCCGCAAACCUACCGAUGCCGCUUGCAUUUCACCUUCCCGCACACGGCACAGCUGCGACCCAAAGGAAACAGCUCCGGUUCCUGACACUGGCGCACGCGAGAGAGAGUCAUCCUCAACAUCAUCAUCAUCAUCAUCCUCAACAUCCUCCUCCUCCUCAACAUCAUCCUCCUCCUCAACAUCAUCCUCCUCAACAUCAUCAUCCUCAUGAGAAUGCAGCUCACCUUGCGUGGCGCUUUGCUCGCGAACAAGACAUUUGGGAGCCGUGACUCGGGUUCCAGAGCCCAAUAGAAGGUAACCACACCCACUAAGAAAGACCACAAUCCAAUUAGGAUGUGGAGGUACCUGCAAAAUAGCAUGGCGACAACUUAAUUCAAAACAGUCAACCCUGGCAUGUUUGUGUUAGCAAAUUGAAUUCAGCCUAAAACCAACUGUAACCCAUAACUGGUGACUUAGAGAAAGGGAGGUUGGAAAGAAAAACAAGAUGCGUGUACAAGACUGGUACUUGAACAAAUAAAUAAGCAAGCGUUAAACAAAGAUUGUAAUUUUAAAAACGUGUAUUUAUAUUUCAUAUUUAUUCAUUCACAAAUGUGAUUUAAGGGUUAAAAACGGGACCUAACGUAAAUACGGUUUUGACAAGCCGUCCAGACACACAUUGGAAAAAAGAAAAGAAGAUUCUUGCAUUUGAGGAAGACGGGAACGUGAUGUGACGUCACUCGAGAAUGCCGCCCCAAGGGUUAGGGUUAGCAAUGGAAAAAAGUUUGUAACAACGCGAUUUGUACCGAUGACGGUGAAGCAAUGCCAUUGUGUCUCUGUAUGGAGUUAUUUGGUGUCAUGGAAUGUUUUGAAGACAACUUAUUUAUUUGAUGUGAACCAAGAGCGAUUGCUGGAGGUCAAGAAGUGUUGAACAACAAAUGGUUGACCGAAAUCGUCCAUCUUUGUUGUUUCCAUUCGGUCGGAAGGGAACAACCCGAGUGGGAUACAUUUCCGACUUCCCAGCUUCCUCGAAUGCAGCAUUGACCCCCGAAGCACAAAAGGUGACGUCCGAUGACGUAGGACGCUGACCUGUGGAACAGGAUUGUGGCGGCCAACAAGGCGGCGAGCAGGCAGCUGGCGAGCGGAAACUGACGAGCCCAAGUGAGGAACGCGGUCAGUCGUAGAGCUCGCCAUAAAGCCGACAAAACAGCCAUCUUGUCGCCCCUUAACAAACAACGCACCUCAAGUACAAAGUUCCAAGCGAGCGCACCAAUUCAAAUAAGAGUGCGAACGAGCAGCAACUGUUGGUUGAAAACGACACAAACGGAAACGUCCUGCCGGCUACGACUAAAGACUCUUAAAAGCGAUUAAAGGAGCGGCGUGUUUUGUCACCCCAAAAGCAAAUCGAAGCAUUCUUAUCGUUAGCUCAUCC
This is an RNA transcript of Syngnathus typhle (broad-nosed pipefish), 2408 nucleotides long. RefSeq lists it as uncharacterized. NCBI's taxonomy places the organism in Eukaryota, Metazoa, Chordata, Actinopteri, Syngnathiformes, Syngnathidae. The transcript is spliced from 6 exons. The record is from RefSeq and is a predicted model, not a curated record.